Molecule: ribosomal RNA, 484 nt
Filed under: uncultured bacterium
Lineage: Bacteria
Description: partial 16S ribosomal RNA
Rfam family: Bacterial small subunit ribosomal RNA
Source: RNAcentral
AUUGAACGCUGGCGGCAGGCCUAACACAUGCAAGUCGAGCGGAUGAAGGGAGCUUGCUCCUGGAUUCAGCGGCGGACGGGUGAGUAAUGCCUAGGAAUCUGCCUGGUAGUGGGGGAUGACGUCCGGAAACGGGCGCUAAUACCGCAUACGUCCUGAGGGAGAAAGUGGGGGAUCUUCGGACCUCACGCUAUCAGAUGAGCCUAGGUCGGAUUAGCUAGUUGGUGGGGUAAAGGCCUACCAAGGCGACGAUCCGUAACUGGUCUGAGAGGAUGAUCAGUCACACUGGCACUGAGACACGGUCCAGACUCCUAAGGGAGGCAGCAUUGGGGAAUAUUGGACACUGGGCGAAAGCCUGCCCCAGCCAUGCCGCGUGUGUCAAGAAGGUCUUCGGACUGUAAAGCACUUUAAGUUGGGAGGAAGGGCAGUAAGUUAAUACCUUGCUGUUUUGACGUUACCAACAGAAUACGCACCGGCUAACUUCGUG